GAUGAACGCUGGCGGCGUGCCUAAUACAUGCAAGUCGAGCGAACGGACGAGAAGCUUGCUUCUCUGAUGUUAGCGGCGGACGGGUGAGUAACACGUGGAUAACCUACCUAUAAGACUGGGAUAACUUCGGGAAACCGGAGCUAAUACCGGAUAAUAUUUUGAACCGCAUGGUUCAAAAGUGAAAGACGGUCUUGCUGUCACUUAUAGAUGGAUCCGCGCUGCAUUAGCUAGUUGGUAAGGUAACGGCUUACCAAGGCAACGAUGCAUAGCCGACCUGAGAGGGUGAUCGGCCACACUGGAACUGAGACACGGUCCAGACUCCUACGGGAGGCAGCAGUAGGGAAUCUUCCGCAAUGGGCGAAAGCCUGACGGAGCAACGCCGCGUGAGUGAUGAAGGUCUUCGGAUCGUAAAACUCUGUUAUUAGGGAAGAACAUAUGUGUAAGUAACUGUGCACAUCUUGACGGUACCUAAUCAGAAAGCCACGGCUAACUACGUGCCAGCAGCCGCGGUAAUACGUAGGUGGCAAGCGUUAUCCGGAAUUAUUGGGCGUAAAGCGCGCGUAGGCGGUUUUUUAAGUCUGAUGUGAAAGCCCAUGGCUCAACCGUGGAGGGUCAUUGGAAACUGGAAAACUUGAGUGCAGAAGAGGAAAGUGGAAUUCCAUGUGUAGCGGUGAAAUGCGCAGAGAUAUGGAGGAACACCAGUGGCGAAGGCGACUUUCUGGUCUGUAACUGACGCUGAUGUGCGAAAGCGUGGGGAUCAAACAGGAUUAGAUACCCUGGUAGUCCACGCCGUAAACGAUGAGUGCUAAGUGUUAGGGGGUUUCCGCCCCUUAGUGCUGCAGCUAACGCAUUAAGCACUCCGCCUGGGGAGUACGACCGCAAGGUUGAAACUCAAAGGAAUUGACGGGGACCCGCACAAGCGGUGGAGCAUGUGGUUUAAUUCGAAGCAACGCGAAGAACCUUACCAAAUCUUGACAUCCUUUGACAACUCUAGAGAUAGAGCUUUCCCCUUCGGGGGACAAAGUGACAGGUGGUGCAUGGUUGUCGUCAGCUCGUGUCGUGAGAUGUUGGGUUAAGUCCCGCAACGAGCGCAACCCUUAAGCUUAGUUGCCAUCAUUAAGUUGGGCACUCUAAGUUGACUGCCGGUGACAAACCGGAGGAAGGUGGGGAUGACGUCAAAUCAUCAUGCCCCUUAUGAUUUGGGCUACACACGUGCUACAAUGGACAAUACAAAGGGCAGCGAAACCGUGAGGUCAAGCAAAUCCCAUAAAGUUGUUCUCAGUUCGGAUUGUAGUCUGCAACUCGACUACAUGAAGCUGGAAUCGCUAGUAAUCGUAGAUCAGCAUGCUACGGUGAAUACGUUCCCGGGUCU
This 1372-nucleotide ribosomal RNA is filed under the name uncultured bacterium. RNAcentral's name for it is "bacterial SSU rRNA". It matches the Rfam family "Bacterial small subunit ribosomal RNA", at positions 28 to 1381 of the family's 1533-position model. The record is from RNAcentral.